CAAGGAGUCUCUGUACCCUGCCUUGUCUGCCUGGGCAAGGCUACUAGGGAUGUCAUGCUGGCAAUGACUUCAAUAGUGGUCUAACGUAAAAUGUCUUGUGGUCCUCUCAGUCCCUGAGAAAGUAGUGUUCCCACAGGCCUAUUAUGCAAAAGCUGGCUACCACCAUCAUUAUUCCUAAUGAGCAAAAGUACCACUGUUUUUAGGCUGACCAUAGAGGUACCUAUAGAAGUAGGGCAGUGCUAGCAAGCUGGUCAUCUCUACUGUUGUACAGGAUUAGGCACCUAAAAUCUACUGAAAUCCCAUCUUUCAGAUCUAUUGGAAUCUUAAUCUGGAUGUAGGAAAUUAUAUACAGCCCCAGCUGUUUCUCCAGGUAUGCUGAAGUGCCCUGACACGUGGUAGCAGGCAAUAUUUUCAUGAAAACAAUCCUUGCUUGGAAACAACUUGAAGAUCGGUCAGAUGGCCAUCCUCCUUUCAGCUCACCAGACUUCAGCUAACACCCUGUUCUCCACUGCAGCAACAAACUGAGUAACACUAAGAAGAAACAGCAUGAGGUGCUUCUAAGGGACUAUCACAAAACAGCAGGAUCUGUCACAGGCAAACUAAGAAACAACUACCAGCUACAAGGUGCAAGCUAAGCAACAUAAAUACACAGAAUAAGCUUAGAAAGGAGAUAAAAGAGGAAUACGUGGGUCCCCUGAGCCUAUUUUUUCUGCAGAUGCUGAGAACGGUAAGAACAAAAACCAAAACAACACAAAUGAAAGAAAGAAAAAAAAAGCCAAAGCAACUUCAAGAGCAUCUGAACACAUUACUAUUGCUUUUUCUUAGCAGCACUUUGUGAAUUCAAGUGUUCAUUUAAGGGAUCCAUCAGAGAUGGGCUGAGAGGAAUGUUUUGGACCAUGUAAGGUUUUUAAUU
This 913-nucleotide long non-coding RNA is filed under the name Anser brachyrhynchus (Pink-footed goose). Its description in RNAcentral is "lncRNA (ENSABRG00000000029.1)". Lineage: Eukaryota; Metazoa; Chordata; Aves; Anseriformes; Anatidae. The record is from RNAcentral.